UACGUAGGACGCAAACGUUGUCCGGAUUUACUGGGUGUAAAGGGUGCUCAGGCGGUCUUGUAAGUCAAUGGUGAAAUCUCCCGACUCAAUCGGGAAACUGCCUUUGAUACUGUAAGGCUUGAGUGCAGAAGAGGCGGAUGGAAUUUCUGGUGUAGCAGUGAAAUGCGUAGAUAUCAGAAAGAACACCAGUGGCGAAGGCGGUCCGCUGGUCUGUCACUGACGCUAAAGCACGAAAGCGUGGGGAGCAAACAGG
Molecule: ribosomal RNA, 253 nt
Filed under: uncultured bacterium
Lineage: Bacteria
Description: partial 16S ribosomal RNA
Rfam family: Bacterial small subunit ribosomal RNA
Source: RNAcentral